GACGAACGCUGGCGGCGUGCCUAAUACAUGCAAGUUGAGCGCUGAAGGUUGGUACUUGUACCAACUGGAUGAGCAGCGAACGGGUGAGUAACGCGUGGGGAAUCUGCCUUUGAGCGGGGGACAACAUUUGGAAACGAAUGCUAAUACCGCAUAAAAACUUUAAACACAAGUUUUAAGUUUGAAAGAUGCAAAUGCAUCACUCAAAGAUGAUCCCGCGUUGUAUUAGCUAGUUGGUGAGGUAAAGGCCCACCAAGGCGAUGAUACAUAGCCGACCUGAGAGGGUGAUCGGCCACAUUGGGACUGAGACACGGCCCAAACUCCUACGGGAGGCAGCAGUAGGGAAUCUUCGGCAAUGGACGAAAGUCUGACCGAGCAACGCCGCGGGAGUGAAGAAGGGUUUCGGAUCGUAAAACUCUGUUGGUAGAGAAGAACGUUGGUGAGAGUGGAAAGCUCAUCAAGUGACGGUAACUACCCAGAAAGGGACGGCUAACUACGUG
Molecule: ribosomal RNA, 497 nt
Filed under: uncultured bacterium
Lineage: Bacteria
Description: partial 16S ribosomal RNA
Rfam family: Bacterial small subunit ribosomal RNA
Source: RNAcentral